UAAAGCGUGCGCAGGCGGUAAUGUAAGACAGUUGUGAAAUCCCCGGGCUCAACCUGGGAACUGCAUCUGUGACUGCAUUGCUGGAGUACGGUAGAGGGGGAUGGAAUUCCGCGUGUAGCAGUGAAAUGCGUAGAUAUGCGGAGGAACACCGAUGGCGAAGGCAAUCCCCUGGACCUGUACUGACGCUCAUGCACGAAAGCGUGGGGAGCAAACAGGAUUAGAUACCCCGU
This 230-nucleotide ribosomal RNA is filed under the name uncultured bacterium. Its description in RNAcentral is "partial 16S ribosomal RNA". It matches the Rfam family "Bacterial small subunit ribosomal RNA", at positions 561 to 790 of the family's 1533-position model. The record is from RNAcentral.